Non-coding RNA from Podarcis lilfordi (Lilford's wall lizard), 73 nucleotides. The record is from the annotation of a GenBank genome assembly. NCBI's taxonomy places the organism in Eukaryota, Metazoa, Chordata, Lepidosauria, Squamata, Lacertidae.
GCAACUCUAACUCAGUUGGUAGAGCACGAGACUCUUAAUCUCAGGGUUGUGAGUUUGAGCCCCACGUUCGGCA